This 326-nucleotide ribosomal RNA is filed under the name uncultured eukaryote. RNAcentral describes it as "partial 18S ribosomal RNA". It matches the Rfam family "Eukaryotic small subunit ribosomal RNA", at positions 1470 to 1796 of the family's 1831-position model. The record is from RNAcentral.
CCCUUAGAUGUUCUGGGCCGCACGCGCGCUACACUGAUGCAUUCAACAAGCCUAGCCUUGACCGAGAGGUCCGGGUAAUCUUUGAAACUGCAUCGUGAUGGGGCUAGAUUAUUGCAAUUAUUAAUCUUCAACGAGGAAUGCCUAGUAAGCGUGAUUCAUCAAAUCGCGUUGAUUACGUCCCUGCCCUUUGUACACACCGCCCGUCGCUCCUACCGAUUGAAUGUUUUGGUGAGGAGCUCGGAUUGGCAGCAGUUGGUGGUUCGCCACCGGCUAUUGCUGAGAAGUCCUCCAAACCGCCCCAUUUAGAGGAAGGAGAAGUCGUAACA